This is a non-coding RNA of Salmo salar (Atlantic salmon), 54 nucleotides long. The record is from Rfam. NCBI's taxonomy places the organism in Eukaryota, Metazoa, Chordata, Actinopteri, Salmoniformes, Salmonidae.
UUGGUUCCAAUUUGUAAGUCGCUCUGGAUAAGAGCGUCUGCUAAAUGACGUAAA